GACGAGGGGUCCAAGCGUUGUUCGGAAUCAUUGGGCGUAAAGCGGGUGUAGGCGGCUCUAUAAGUCAGGAGUGAAAGCCUCGAGCUUAACUUGGGAAGUGCUUUUGAUACUGCAGAGCUUGAAUGUGGGAGAGGUUAGUGGAAUUCCAGGUGUAGUGGUGAAAUACGUAGAUAUCUGGAGGAACACCGGUGGCGAAGGCGGCUAACUGGCCCAACAUUGACGCUGAGACCCGAAAGCAUGGGGAUCAAACAGG
RNAcentral lists this ribosomal RNA (253 nucleotides) under uncultured bacterium. RNAcentral describes it as "partial 16S ribosomal RNA". It matches the Rfam family "Bacterial small subunit ribosomal RNA", at positions 524 to 776 of the family's 1533-position model. The record is from RNAcentral.